GGACUACAGGGGUUUCUAAUCCUGUUUGCUCCCCUAGCUUUCGCGCCUCAGCGUCAGGUUUGGCUCAGUAAACCGUCUUCACCACCGGUGUUCUUCCACAUAUCUACGCAUUUCACCGCUACACGUGGAAUUCCGUUUACCCUUACCAACCUCAAGUUCGAAAGUUUCAAAUGCAGCUCCGGGGUUGAGCCCCGGAAUUUCACAUCUGACUUUUCGAACCGCCUACGCGCCCUUUACGCCCAGUAAUUCCGAUCAAUGCUUGCACCCUCCGUAUUACCGCGGCUGCUGGCAC
This 292-nucleotide ribosomal RNA is filed under the name uncultured bacterium. Its description in RNAcentral is "partial 16S ribosomal RNA". The record is from RNAcentral.